GGAAGUAAAAGGUCGUAACAAGGGCUCCGUUGGUGAACCAGCGGAGGGAUCAUUACCGAGUGCAAACUCAUAACCCUUUGUGAACCUAUAUCUGUUGCUUCGGCGGCUCGCUCUCGGGCGAGCCCGCCGGUAAUAUCAGUAUCUCUGUUUGAACCCGACGAUACUUCUGAGUGUUCUUAGCGAACAGUUAAAACUUUUAACAACGGAUCUCUUGGCUCUA
This 220-nucleotide unclassified non-coding RNA is filed under the name plant metagenome. RNAcentral describes it as "partial contains small subunit ribosomal RNA, internal transcribed spacer 1, and 5.8S ribosomal RNA". The record is from RNAcentral.